GGGCUGGGUUGGGCUGUUGUCCCGCCGCCGCCGCCGCCGCUGCCGCGGUCCCGCCCGCCGGCCGAGAGGGGAGAGCGGGAGAGAGCCGAAAGCUGCGCCCGGCCAGCCGAGCCCACCGGCCGUCCCCUCCAGGGGCUGAUUUCUUGGACCGCUCAGCACGUAAGAAGUAACCAAGCGAAUUCUCUGUGAGCUCUGGUAUUUUUUAAGAUACGCUUCCUGAAACAGCUUGCUGGCUGCUAAGCACUACUUUCUAGAAAAACAGGAUUAUUUCCCCAAAAGAUUUCGUGUACGGAACAGGCUAGUUUCUGCAGGAGACGCUUAUCCUCCUGAGCCUCUCUUAUGUUUUGCCUGUAACAGAGAAAGUGCUCGUUCAAGCUUUUGUUACAGCUCAACAUUUCCAAGCUUUGUAUCCUCACGGAGAUAAGAUGCUACAUUUAUACAUUAAAAGGAAGAGAUCUCCAUCAAA
Molecule: long non-coding RNA, 466 nt
Organism: Tyto alba (common barn owl)
Lineage: Eukaryota; Metazoa; Chordata; Aves; Strigiformes; Tytonidae
Exons: 2
Source: RefSeq, a predicted model, not a curated record